Drosophila innubila is the source of this 516-nucleotide long non-coding RNA. RefSeq lists it as uncharacterized. NCBI's taxonomy places the organism in Eukaryota, Metazoa, Arthropoda, Insecta, Diptera, Drosophilidae. The record is from RefSeq and is a predicted model, not a curated record. The transcript is spliced from 2 exons.
UUGUCGACAUUUUUCAUUAUGGGCAUUUCAGGGCAAUCUUUCACAUUUAGCUUAUUGCUUAUUGAACUUUGGAAUUUGUGUUUCUCAGAAUUGGUUGAUGUACAAAGCAGCAUGAAUAGCAAAAGACUGAAAGUUGCUAUUCAAUGGAGCUUGGAAAUUAAGAAGUUUACUUUUGGCUGUAAUCAAUGGGUGUUUAAUAGUUUACACCCUGGAACUGAUUGCUGUCGAAAAUCGUGUAACGUUCAAGUUUAUUUCAUCCACAUAUCAUUUUUAUGUUGUGCUCUGCACGUGCCCAGCCGAAGGGCCAACGUGUCCAAAACAGCGUAAAAAUUAUGAUUUCACUUGGGCAGAAGAAUAAGAAGAAAUAAUGGCAAGAGAAACUAAGUUUUCGUGGAGUGAAGUACUCGUAUAUUUUGUAAAUGUAGUGGAAGAUUUAAAUAAGUUUUAAAGAAGUGCUCAGUAGCAGGAAAAACUUCUAUUACAAAAUAAACUAAACAACUGAAUAAUUUUAAUAAA